UACGAAGGGGGCUAGCGUUGUUCGGAAUUACUGGGCGUAAAGCGCACGUAGGCGGAUUUGUUAGUCAGGGGUGAAAUCCCGGGGCUCAACCUCGGAAUUGCCUUUGAUACUGCAAGUCUCGAGUCCGGAAGAGGUGAGCGGAAUUCCUAGUGUAGAGGCGAAAUUCGUAGAUAUUAGGAAGAACACCAGUGGCGAAGGCGGCUCACUGGUCCGGUACUGAUGCUGAGGCGCGAAAGCGUGGGGAGCAAACAGG
RNAcentral lists this ribosomal RNA (253 nucleotides) under uncultured bacterium. RNAcentral describes it as "partial 16S ribosomal RNA". It matches the Rfam family "Bacterial small subunit ribosomal RNA", at positions 524 to 776 of the family's 1533-position model. The record is from RNAcentral.